RNAcentral lists this long non-coding RNA (1011 nucleotides) under Polistes fuscatus (common paper wasp). Its description in RNAcentral is "uncharacterized LOC122518927, transcript variant X1". Lineage: Eukaryota; Metazoa; Arthropoda; Insecta; Hymenoptera; Vespidae. The record is from RNAcentral.
AGUCUGCGUGGGUAAAAGAAUAUUUGUGAUAUUUUUGUUUUCUAUAUUGAUAAAUAAAUACGAAAAUAAAAUAAAAUAAAUAUAUAAAUGUUAGAGAGUACGCGUAGGUAAGAAUAAAAUGAUUUCGAGAUAUUGGAGAGGAAUAAUCGAAAGUAUCUCGAAAGGUAAAGUAAGAAGUAGAUGUGGUAGAUGUUCUCAGGAUGGAUAAAGAUGAUUCGGGGAUGAGAACGAGCUAGAGGGAGGGUCUGUACGAUUCGUGAUACGCCCCGCGUUAUAUGCUUGCGCUUCUUCGAACGAACCGUUCAGUUAGAUUCAAGCCGUGAACGAGGUAACUUCUGUGACGCGAAAUCAUUUUAACAACAAAAGCUUUAUUUCCUUUAACAACAAACUCUCCUCGUUAUUUGAUUAUUCAGAAGAAAAUUAAAAAAAGAAAUAAAAAGAAAAGAAAGAAAUAAAGAAAAAUCGUAAUUGUUCUCACGUUACGAAACAUAUCAUCCCCUGCUUCGAUCAGAAUUUAAUCUCGUUCGACCUAAUUGAUAUUGACCUUGAACGUUAUUUCGGUUCUUUAUAGUGAAAUAUUUCUACGUAAGGUUUAAGUGAGUUUUCCCCAGUGACGUUGUAAACACACGGUAGAUAAAAGAAAAGAAAAAAGAGAGAGAGAGAGAGAAAGGAAAAAAAGAAAGAAAGAACGAAUAUAAUAAUUCACCCCCGAGACAGCAUGAAUCCCAAACUUCGUUCAUCUUUUUACUCGGAGUUUUAGAAUUGAGACAAUGUGUACGUGAUGUUACACCGAAGCGCGUCGUCGCGACGCCGUAGGGUGUCACGAAGCGUUGCAAAUUCGAAUCAUCCUGCCGGUGCAUCACCAACGAUUGCUAACAGAGGACGACGUGCAAGCGUAGCUACCGAAAAGCCGGAUCUUUUGACUCAAAUCAGUCCCUGCGGAACUAUGGAAAGGCAGAAAUCACCAAGAGGAAGCGUCGUACCAAAUAAAGCCCUCGACGUUCAAAAUGA